Molecule: non-coding RNA, 45 nt
Filed under: Schistosoma mansoni
Lineage: Eukaryota; Metazoa; Platyhelminthes; Trematoda; Strigeidida; Schistosomatidae
Source: RNAcentral
AUUCAACUGACGAGUUCCACAUGGGACGAAACGUCUAUCCUGAAU